GGGUAACCUGCGGAGGGAUCAUUACACAAAUAUGAAGGCGGGCUGGAACCUCUCGGGGUUACAGCCUUGCUGAAUUAUUCACCCUUGUCUUUUGCGUACUUCUUGUUUCCUUGGUGGGUUCGCCCACCACUAGGACAAACAUAAACCUUUUGUAAUUGCAAUCAGCGUCAGUAACAAAUUAAUAAUUACAACUUUCAACAACGGAUCUCUUGGUUCUGGCAUCGAUGAAGAACGCAGCGAAAUGCGAUAAGUAGUGUGAAUUGCAGAAUUCAGUGAAUCAUCGAAUCUUUGAACGCACAUUGCGCCCUUUGGUAUUCCAAAGGGCAUGCCUGUUCGAGCGUCAUUUGUACCCUCAAGCUUUGCUUGGUGUUGGGCGUCUUGUCUCUAGCUUUGCUGGAGACUCGCCUUAAAGUAAUUGGCAGCCGGCCUACUGGUUUCGGAGCGCAGCACAAGUCGCACUCUCUAUCAGCAAAGGUCUAGCAUCCAUUAAGCCUUUUUCAACUUUGACCUCGGAUCAGUAGAUCCCGCCCACA
This 533-nucleotide ribosomal RNA is filed under the name fungal sp. RNAcentral describes it as "eukaryotic LSU rRNA". The stretch from base 190 to 343 matches the Rfam family "5.8S ribosomal RNA". The record is from RNAcentral. Lineage: Eukaryota; Fungi.